GACGAACGCUGGCGGCGCGCCUAACACAUGCAAGUCGAACGAGAGAGAAGGAGCUUGCUUCUUCGAUCGAGUGGCGAACGGGUGAGUAACGCGUGAGGAACCUGCCUCAAAGAGGGGGACAACAGUUGGAAACGACUGCUAAUACCGCAUAAGCCCACAGGUCGGCAUCGACCAGAGGGAAAAGGAGCAAUCCGCUUUGAGAUGGCCUCGCGUCCGAUUAGCUAGUUGGUGAGGUAACGGCCCACCAAGGCGACGAUCGGUAGCCGGACUGAGAGGUUGAACGGCCACAUUGGGACUGAGACACGGCCCAGACUCCUACGGGAGGCAGCAGUGGGGAAUAUUGCACAAUGGGGGAAACCCUGAUGCAGCGACGCCGCGUGGAGGAAGAAGGUCUUCGGAUUGUAAACUCCUGUUGUUGAGGAAGAUAAAUGACGGUACUCAACAAGGAAGUGACGGCUAACUACGUGCCAGCAGCCGCGGUAAAGUACAGUGU
RNAcentral lists this ribosomal RNA (493 nucleotides) under uncultured bacterium. Its description in RNAcentral is "bacterial SSU rRNA". It matches the Rfam family "Bacterial small subunit ribosomal RNA", at positions 28 to 532 of the family's 1533-position model. The record is from RNAcentral.